CGAUUUUUCACGUCGCCUGACAAGAACAAGAAUUGCAAAGAAGAAGUGAAAAGAAAACACAGAACAAAGGAUGAACGCCGGAGAGCACUACUAUAUAAUUUUCCCCCAAAAUAUGAUGGGCAGUGGUGUGCUUGUUUGCAUUGAUCGCAUGGUGGCCAGCACUUCACCACACAUCUGACGGCGACUGUUUUAUCCAUGAGGUGGAGGAUAAGAGAAGCGCAUCUCUGAAAUUCACAGUUUUGAACCUAAAGAGACACAUCUAGAAAAUGAUUGCACGAGUGGUUCCAGUGUCAUGUGCGUCAACAUG
RNAcentral lists this ribosomal RNA (307 nucleotides) under Triticum aestivum (bread wheat). Its description in RNAcentral is "partial small subunit ribosomal RNA". Lineage: Eukaryota; Viridiplantae; Streptophyta; Magnoliopsida; Poales; Poaceae. The record is from RNAcentral.